CAGUAGGGAAUCUUCCACAAUGGGCGCAAGCCUGAUGGAGCAACGCCGCGUGUGUGAUGAAGGGUUUCGGCUCGUAAAACACUGUUGUAAGAGAAGAAUGACAUUGAGAGUAACUGUUCAAUGUGUGACGGUAUCUUACCAGAAAGGAACGGCUAAAUACGUGCCAG
Molecule: ribosomal RNA, 167 nt
Filed under: uncultured bacterium
Lineage: Bacteria
Description: partial 16S rRNA
Rfam family: Bacterial small subunit ribosomal RNA
Source: RNAcentral